CAGGUCCACGCACGCACACUGAACUCCAUUGUUGUUCCCUUCUUGUUGAUUGUGAUCUGUGAGUAGACUGCUAAGGGAAAAUUUUGACAAAAUAUUCGUCUGUCUUCUCCGAUUAAACCUCGGUAGAUCCCCCGACUAGUGGGUCCUUUGUGCUUUCUCCAAGAUGAUCGGCGACAACACUGCGCUAGGUCCUCCUCGUUGGUCUUUAUCAUGUUAGGAUAUAAUACCUGGUAGCUGUAUCUGUCAAGCCUCUGCUGAACGAGUUCUUCCUCCAAACCGGUGAUGGUCACUGCGCUGGUUGGAUUAUAACUGGAGAGAGUGAGAGAGUGAACCACUAAAGUAAAAAGAUAUGCACCAAUGUCAUGCUAGUCUCGACUGUUCUAUAGAUCUAAUACCGAUAAGGUUCAAUUGUUGGCAGCAAGCUCUGAUAGAUCCAGCCAUACAAGGCACUAAGAAUGUGCUCAAAUCCUGCUCCAAAGCAAGCUCGGUGAGGCGUGUCGUCCUCACCUCUUCCUGCUCUUCCAUCAGGUACCGAUAUGAUGUCACUCUGGUUUCCCCACUCAACGAGUCACACUGGAGCGACCCCGAAUACUGCAAAAGAUACAAUGUAAGCCUUCUCAUAUUCCUGACAUGUUUUCAGCAGUGUGCUUUUCAUGAUACCCAAAGAGCUUGCUCAUCUAUCUGGGAAGAACACUUCCGAACAACUCUUUGCAGCUGAAUAAUUUGUAUAUGGCAUCUGGUUCCCAGCAGAUGGCCAGGCCCACCAAAAAAAGGGUCCUUCCCUGCAAACGAUUCCUGGCCAAAACAAAUAUGUGUUUGCAGGGAACCCGGAUGCCCAAUGCAAGUUAGUUAACUGACAAAGAACUGAUGAGAAGUUUUAGCUUGUGUCAGUAGCAUAUCGGCAAACUUCACAUCCAACUGCGAUGAGCUCUAUCUGUAUGUGAUGGAUGUCAUUGAAACAGCACAAAACUCUGGGUCUACCCUUUAUUAAUUUAAG
This 997-nucleotide long non-coding RNA is filed under the name Musa acuminata (dwarf banana). Its description in RNAcentral is "long non-coding RNA (MACU_LNC003120)". The record is from RNAcentral. Lineage: Eukaryota; Viridiplantae; Streptophyta; Magnoliopsida; Zingiberales; Musaceae.